GACGGAUAGUUACAUAGGUUAUAUGAACAAACAAGCAUACAUACGCAAAUGAAGGCUGAAACACAUGGCCAUAUAUAUAUACACACUACUUCACACAAGGAUACAUAUGGAGACACGUCCACACAGAUGGCGAUGCACAUCCAUACAUACAAACAAACAAACACGGUACAUAGUUUCAAAACACACACACACACUCAGACAUGCACACACAAGGAGACAGGGGUACACACACACAUAUACAAACACACACACACACACACACACAUACAUAAAAACACACAAACACAGACAUGCAAACACACGAAUAUGCAGAAUACAUACAUAUAUAGAUACAUAUGCACACACACACAUACAUACAUGCAUGUAUAGGCACACACACACACUGAUCCACACACAUAAGCACAAACCAACAAAAAGGAACGCAGUAUGAGUAACGGACAGUCAAGAUUAUGAAAAAGGUUGCAAGAUGCAACGAAAAUUUUAGAAAAAGAAAAAAGUGGAAAUUUUACCGUGGAACACACAAAAGUGAAGAAUAAAAUUCAUAUGGAAGCUUUCAUCUUGUCAACAAAAAGUAUGUCUCUGAAGAAGAAAGAAGACAAUCAAACAUUUCAAUCAUAAGUUUGUUUAUCAUGGUAUCAAAUUUGAAAGUAAACACAAUAUAUCUUAUAAUCUGAUAAAUAGAAAAUGUUUACUUUUAUUUUUCUACAUAUCAUUUAAUACCAGAGGAUAUUGCAAACUAGAGCUCAACAUCCCAAGAUAUUUACAACUGUGGUAGCAUUUCUUUAAAUAAAUUGUUGUUUUUAAAACCUGUUGUGCUGAGUUCAUUCUACUAUGUUCUACACCAGCAGCUCCCAGGGCUUCAUGCCACCUUCAAGCAUCCUUCCAGUAACCUUUGACAGUCUUCCCUCUAGAAAUAAAAAGUUUUCUCUAA
Molecule: long non-coding RNA, 931 nt
Organism: Octopus bimaculoides (California two-spot octopus)
Lineage: Eukaryota; Metazoa; Mollusca; Cephalopoda; Octopoda; Octopodidae
Source: RefSeq, a predicted model, not a curated record